RNAcentral lists this ribosomal RNA (304 nucleotides) under uncultured bacterium. Its description in RNAcentral is "bacterial SSU rRNA". It matches the Rfam family "Bacterial small subunit ribosomal RNA", at positions 335 to 634 of the family's 1533-position model. The record is from RNAcentral.
ACUCCUACGGGAGGCAGCAGUGAGGGAAUAUUGGUCAAUGGGCGCAAGCCUGAACCAGCCAUGCCGCGUGCAGGAAGACUGCCUUAUGGGUUGUAAAACUGCUUUUAUAUGGGAAGAAACCCCUCUACGUGUAGAGGCUUGACGGUACCAUAAGAAUAAGCACCGGCUAACUCCGUGCCAGCAGCCGCGGUAAUACGGAGGGUGCAAGCGUUAUCCGGAAUCAUUGGGUUUAAAGGGUCCGCAGGCGGUCAAUUAAGUCAGAGGUGAAAUCCUAUAGCUUAACUAUAGAACUGCCUUUGAUACU